GACGAACGCUGGCGGCGUGCUUAACACAUGCAAGUCGUACGGUAAGGCCCUUUCGGGGGUACACGAGUGGCGAACGGGUGAGUAACACGUGAGUAACCUGCCCACAACUUUGGGAUAACGCUAGGAAACUGGUGCUAAUACUGGAUAUGUGCUCCUGCUGCAUGGUGGGGGUUGGAAAGCUCCGGCGGUUGUGGAUGGACUCGCGGCCUAUCAGCUUGUUGGUGGGGUAGUGGCCUACCAAGGCGGCGACGGGUAGCCGGCCUGAGAGGGUGACCGGCCACAUUGGGACUGAGAUACGGCCCAGACUCCUACGGGAGGCAGAAGGGGGGAAUAUUGCACAAUGGGCGCAAGCCUGAUGCAGCAACGCCGCGUGCGGGAUGACGGCCUUCGGGUUGUAAACCGCUUUCAGCAGGGACGAAGCUUUUUGUGACGGUACCUGCAGAAGAAGCACCGGCUAACUACGUG
This 465-nucleotide ribosomal RNA is filed under the name uncultured bacterium. RNAcentral's name for it is "partial 16S ribosomal RNA". It matches the Rfam family "Bacterial small subunit ribosomal RNA", at positions 28 to 507 of the family's 1533-position model. The record is from RNAcentral.